This 450-nucleotide ribosomal RNA is filed under the name uncultured bacterium. Its description in RNAcentral is "partial 16S ribosomal RNA". It matches the Rfam family "Bacterial small subunit ribosomal RNA", at positions 338 to 795 of the family's 1533-position model. The record is from RNAcentral.
CCUACGGGGGGCAGCAGUAAGGAAUAUUGGUCAAUGGACGCAAGUCUGAACCAGCCAUGCCGCGUGGAGGAUGAAGGUCCUCUGGAUUGUAAACUUCUUUUAUUUGGGAAGAAACUCCCGAUUUCCAUCGGGAUUGACGGUACCAGAUGAAUCAGCACCGGCUAACUCCGUGCCAGCAGCCGCGGUCAUACGGAGGGUGCCGGAGUUAUCGGGAUUCACGGGGGUGUAGGGGGGCAGGUAAGGGCAGGGUGAAAUCUCCGGGCUUAACCCGGAAACUGCCAUUGAUACUAUGUGUCUUGAAUACUCUGGAGGUGAGCGGAAUAUGUCAUGUAGCGGUGAAAUGCUUAGAUAUGACAUAGAACACCCAUUGCGAAGGCAGCUCACUACGGAAAUAUUGACGCUGAGGCACGAAAGCGUGGGGAUCAAACAGGAUUAGAUACCCCGGUAGUC